GGGGCCGUAGUCUAGCUUGGUAGGAUGCCUGGCUUGGGCCCAGGUGGUCCCGGGUUCAAAUCCCGGCGGCCCCA
This 74-nucleotide transfer RNA is filed under the name Thermofilum sp. ex4484_79. RNAcentral describes it as "tRNA-Pro". It matches the Rfam family "tRNA". Rfam says of the family: Transfer RNA (tRNA) molecules are approximately 80 nucleotides in length. Their secondary structure includes four short double-helical elements and three loops (D, anti-codon, and T loops). Further hydrogen bonds mediate the characteristic L-shaped molecular structure. tRNAs have two regions of fundamental functional importance: the anti-codon, which is responsible for specific mRNA codon recognition, and the 3' end, to which the tRNAs corresponding amino acid is attached (by aminoacyl-tRNA synthetases). tRNAs cope with the degeneracy of the genetic code in two manners: having more than one tRNA (with a specific anti-codon) for a particular amino acid; and 'wobble' base-pairing, i.e. permitting non-standard base-pairing at the 3rd anti-codon position. RNAcentral also lists the same sequence under 1 other name. Lineage: Archaea; Thermoproteati; Thermoproteota; Thermoprotei; Thermofilales; Thermofilaceae. The record is from RNAcentral.